GAUGAACGCUGGCGGCGUGCCUAAUACAUGCCAGUCGAGCGAACAGAUGAGGAGCUUGCUCCUCUGACGUUAGCGGCGGACGGGUGAGUAACACGUGGAUAACCUACCUAUAAGACUGGGAUAACUUCGGGAAACCGGAGCUAAUACCGGAUAAUAUAUUGAACCGCAUGGUUCAAUAGUGAAAGACGGUUUUGCUGUCACUUAUAGAUGGAUCCGCGCCGCAUUAGCUAGUUGGUAAGGUAACGGCUUACCAAGGCAACGAUGCGUAGCCGACCUGAGAGGGUGAUCGGCCACACUGGAACUGAGACACGGUCCAGACUCCUACGGGAGGCAGCAGUAGGGAAUCUUCCGCAAUGGGCGAAAGCCUGACGGAGCAACGCCGCGUGAGUGAUGAAGGUCUUCGGAUUGUAAAACUCUGUUAUUAGGGAAGAACAAAUGUGUAAGUAACUAUGCACGUCUUGACGGUACCUAAUCAGAAAGCCACGGCUAACUACGUG
RNAcentral lists this ribosomal RNA (497 nucleotides) under uncultured bacterium. Its description in RNAcentral is "partial 16S ribosomal RNA". It matches the Rfam family "Bacterial small subunit ribosomal RNA", at positions 28 to 507 of the family's 1533-position model. The record is from RNAcentral.